RNAcentral lists this ribosomal RNA (1370 nucleotides) under uncultured bacterium. RNAcentral describes it as "bacterial SSU rRNA". It matches the Rfam family "Bacterial small subunit ribosomal RNA". The record is from RNAcentral.
AGAGUUUGAUCCUGGCUCAGGAUAAACGCUGGCGGCGUGCCUAAUACAUGCAAGUCGAUCGAUGGAUGCCCAGCUUGCUGGGAGGAAAUAGAGGCGAACGGGUGAGUAAUACGUAAGCAACCUGCCCACGAAGACCGGGAUAAUCCCUGGAAACGGGGACUAAGACCGGAUAGGUAACAGAACCGCAUGAUUUUGUUAUUAAAGGUUAAAAACACUGGUGGAUGGCCUUACGGUGCAUUAGCUUGUUGGUGAGGUAAUGGCCCACCAAGGCGACGAUCGGUAGCCGGACUGAGAGGUUGAACGGCCACAUUGGGACUGAGACACGGCCCAGACUCCUACGGGAGGCAGCAGUGGGGAAUAUUGCACAAUGGGGGAAACCCUGAUGCAGCGACGCCGCGUGGAGGAAGAAGGUCUUCGGAUUGUAAACUCCUGUUGUUGGGGAAGAUAAUGACGGUACCCAACAAGGAAGUGACGGCUAACUACGUGCCAGCAGCCGCGGUAAAACGUAGGUCACAAGCGUUGUCCGGAAUUACUGGGUGUAAAGGGAGCGCAGGCGGGAAGACGAGUUGGAAGUGAAAUCCAUGGGCUCAACCCAUGAACUGCUUUCAAAACUGUUUUUCUUGAGUAGUGCAGAGGUAGGCGGAAUUCCCGGUGUAGCGGUGGAAUGCGUAGAUAUCGGGAGGAACACCAGUGGCGAAGGCGGCCUACUGGGCACCAACUGACGCUGAGGCUCGAAAGUGUGGGUAGCAAACAGGAUUAGAUACCCUGGUAGUCCACACCGUAAACGAUGAUUAUUAGGUGUUGGAGGAUUGACCCCUUCAGUGCCGCAGUUAACACAAUAAGUAAUCCACCUGGGGAGUACGACCGCAAGGUUGAAACUCAAAGGAAUUGACGGGGGCCCGCACAAGCAGUGGAGUAUGUGGCUUAAUUCGACGCAACGCGAAGAACCUUACCAAGUCUUGACAUCCUGCGACGAUGCUGGAAACAGUAUUUUCCUUCGGGACGCAGAGACAGGUGGUGCAUGGUUGUCGUCAGCUCGUGUCGUGAGAUGUUGGGUUAAGUCCCGCAACGAGCGCAACCCUUACUGUCAGUUACUACGCAAGAGGACUCUGGCAGGACUGCCGUUGACAAAACGGAGGAAGGUGGGGAUGACGUCAAAUCAUCAUGCCCUUUAUGACUUGGGCUACACACGUACUACAAUGGCGUUAAACAAAGAGAAGCAAGACCGCGAGGUGGAGCAAAACUCAGAAACAACGUCCCAGUUCGGACUGCAGUCUGCAACUCGACUGCACGAAGCUGGAAUCGCUAGUAAUCGCGGAUCAGAAUGCCGCGGUGAAUACGUUCCCGGGUCUUGCACACACCGCCCGUCA